ACAAAGACGUUGACGGAGACAAGUAGCUUUGUAGAACAAAACAGGGAAAAAUGGUCAUAGACUGAAAGCCAUUUUAUAAGUUAACAAUGCGAAAAUUUCAGCUCCACGAGUCGCUGCCGGGAUUGUAUUUGAAAGGCAGAUCGGUUUUUAGCCGUUAUUCAAAUGAAGGUGGAAAUGUUUUAUCAUUUCUAUUAGGGUGGUACCGCGAGCAAAAUCUCGUCCCUUUG
RNAcentral lists this non-coding RNA (227 nucleotides) under Listeria fleischmannii. RNAcentral describes it as "T-box sequence". It matches the Rfam family "T-box leader". Rfam says of the family: Uncharged tRNA acts as the effector for transcription antitermination of genes in the T-box leader family. T-boxes are found upstream of many aminoacyl-tRNA synthetase genes and some amino acid biosynthetic genes usually in Gram-positive bacteria. Lineage: Bacteria; Bacillati; Bacillota; Bacilli; Caryophanales; Listeriaceae. The record is from RNAcentral.